Molecule: ribosomal RNA, 107 nt
Filed under: Escherichia coli
Lineage: Bacteria; Pseudomonadati; Pseudomonadota; Gammaproteobacteria; Enterobacterales; Enterobacteriaceae
Description: partial 16S ribosomal RNA
Rfam family: Bacterial small subunit ribosomal RNA
Source: RNAcentral
UUAAAUUGAAGAGUUUGAUCAUGGCUCAGAUUGAACGCUGGCGGCAGGCCUAACACAUGCAAGUCGAACGGUAACAGGAAACAGCUUGCUGUUUCGCUGACGAGUGG